AGAGAUGUGUGAUGACGCAUAUCAAUAAGCGGAGGAAAAGAAACUAACAAGGAUUCCCUUAGUAACGGCGAGUGAAGCGGGAAGAGCUCAAAUUUGAAAUCUUCAAGGUUUUACCUUGACGAAUUGUAGUUUAAAGAAGUGUUUUCUGUUGGAGUUUUGGUAAAAGUUCUUUGGAAUAGGACAUCAUAGAGGGUGAGAAUCCCGUAUUUGACCAUUAUUUCCAGCUUUGUGAUACACUUUCAAAGAGUCGGAUUGUUUGGGAAUGCAGUCCAAAAUGGGUGGUAAAUUUCAUCUAAAGCUAAAUAUUGGCGAGAGACCGAUAGCGAACAAGUACCGUGAGGGAAAGAUGAAAAGAACUUUGAAAAGAGAGUUAAACAGUACGUGAAAUUGUCAAAAGGGAAGCGUUUGACACCAGUGUUGUUUUCUCGAAAAUCAAUUAAAAAUGAUGGGAUUUUGUGUUGUAUUGACUUUAUCAGCUUUCUGCACUUUUUUCUUAUCUUUUUUAAUGCACUUUUCGUUUAACAAGUCAACAUCAAUUUCUUUUGUUGUAAAAGAGUCAUUGGAAGGUGGCUUUUUCUUCGGAAAAAGUGUUUAUAGCCUUUGGCUUCUGCAAUCGGAGAGAUUGAGGUCUGCAGCGUAGAUCCUUCGGGGUUAGAUACAUUUGUGCUAAGCUAUAGUUCUUUAUAGACAACUUGUUGACUAUAAUCAAUCCUGUAACUUACUCGCUUAUGCUAUUUUACCUACGCUUAGGAUGUUGAACUACUGAGACAUAGA
RNAcentral lists this ribosomal RNA (774 nucleotides) under uncultured Neocallimastigales. Its description in RNAcentral is "partial large subunit ribosomal RNA". The stretch from base 8 to 693 matches the Rfam family "Eukaryotic large subunit ribosomal RNA", at positions 24 to 664 of the family's 3401-position model. Lineage: Eukaryota; Fungi; Neocallimastigomycota; Neocallimastigomycetes; Neocallimastigales. The record is from RNAcentral.